GUGAGGAAUAUUGCGCAAUGGGGGCAACCCUGACGCAGCGAUGCCGCGUGGGUGACGAAGGUCUUCGGAUCGUAAAGCCCUGUCAGGUGGGAAGAAUAGCUUGGGGGACAAUACCCUCCAGGUGUGACGGUACCACCGAAGGAAGCACCGGCUAACUCCGUGCCAGCAGCCGCGGUAAGACGGAGGGUGCAAGCGUUAUUCGGAAUCAUUGGGCGUAAAGGGCGUGCAGGCGGCCGAUCAAGUCAGGGGUGAAAGCCCGGGGCUCAACCCCGGAAGUGCCUCUGAUACUGGCUGGCUUGAGUUCGGGAGAGGGAAGCGGAAUUCCGGGUGUAGAGGUGAAAUUCGUAGAUAUCCGGAGGAACACCGGUGGCGAAGGCGGCUUCCUGGACCGAAACUGACGCUGAGACGCGAAAGCGUGGGGAGCAAACAGGAUUAGAAACCCCUGUAGUCC
This 451-nucleotide ribosomal RNA is filed under the name uncultured bacterium. Its description in RNAcentral is "bacterial SSU rRNA". It matches the Rfam family "Bacterial small subunit ribosomal RNA", at positions 354 to 796 of the family's 1533-position model. The record is from RNAcentral.